GACGAACGCUGGCGGCGUGCCUAAUACAUGCAAGUAGGACGCAGUUGCGAACGGGGGAGUAACGCGUAGGUAACUACCUAUUAGAGGGGGAUAACUAUUGGAAACGAUAGCUAAUACCGCAUACUAGUAGAUGGACCUGCGUUGUAUUAGCUAGUAGGUAGGGUAAUGGCCGACCUAGGCAACGAUACAUAGACGACCUGAGAGGGGGAUCGGCCACACUGUGACUGGGAAACGGCCCAGACGCCGACGGGAGGCAGCAGUAAGGAAUCUUCGGAAAUGGGGGGAACCAUGACCAAGCAACGCCGAGGGAGUGAAGAAGGUUUUCGGAUCGUAAAGCUCUGUUGUUAAGGAAGCGGUACUUAACCAGAAAGGGACGGCUAACUACGUGCCAGCAGCCGCGGUAAUAC
This 407-nucleotide ribosomal RNA is filed under the name uncultured bacterium. RNAcentral describes it as "partial 16S ribosomal RNA". It matches the Rfam family "Bacterial small subunit ribosomal RNA", at positions 28 to 526 of the family's 1533-position model. The record is from RNAcentral.